This 426-nucleotide ribosomal RNA is filed under the name uncultured bacterium. Its description in RNAcentral is "bacterial SSU rRNA". It matches the Rfam family "Bacterial small subunit ribosomal RNA", at positions 358 to 776 of the family's 1533-position model. The record is from RNAcentral.
GGAAUCUUCCACAAUGGACGAAAGUCUGAUGGAGCAACGCCGCGUGAGUGAAGAAGGUUUUCGGAUCGUAAAACUCUGUUGUGAGGGAAGAACAAGUACAGGAGUAACUGUCUGUACCUUGACGGUACCUCAUUAGAAAGCCACGGCUAACUACGUGCCAGCAGCCGCGGUAAUACGUAGGUGGCAAGCGUUGUCCGGAAUUAUUGGGCGUAAAGCGCGCGCAGGCGGUCUUUUAAGUCUGAUGUGAAAGCCCACGGCUCAACCGUGGAAGGUCAUUGGAAACUGGAAGACUUGAGGACAGAAGAGAAAAGCGGAAUUCCACGUGUAGCGGUGAAAUGCGUAGAGAUGUGGAGGAACACCAGUGGCGAAGGCGGCUUUUUGGUCUGUAACUGACGCUGAGGCGCGAAAGCGUGGGGAGCAAACAGG